UUGCAGUGUUAACAGAUAAUAUGCAUAUACAGUUUUUACUAUACAUAUGAUCAACGAUAUAGGAGAAAUGUAUUUAAUGACAUGAUUAAAGAAAAGGAAGGAUAAUACAGUAUAGCUCAUAUAUAAGCCGUACUUGCCUGUAAGGCGAGUCCUAAAAAUGGAGUUGCUUUGUUGAACCUUUUAUAAGACGCAGUCUAUGAGAAAUACUUUAAUAUAACUGCUUGUUGAGAUUUUAUCAUUGUGCCAUUCAUGAACAAUAUUUCACCGGUCAAAAUAGUUUCUUUGUUUCAAAGUUUAUCUAUGAUUACUUUUACCCUAUUUGUCUCAUGUUUUUAACUCAAAUUCACCGUGUUUUAAGUAUAGUGUCAUAUGCUACAAAGUUGACAAAAACAGUUAAUGUUUUUUUUGUUAUUUUAUAUUUUUUGUUGUUUUUGUUGACGAUCUUCUGACAUGUUUUAGUGUUAAUGAUUAUUUCUCUUAUCAAUGUACUUUUAUAUUCUUUUGUAUUUUGUCUACAUUUCUUUUGUAGACAUCUAUUUAUGAAAAAAAUAAAGCUAUUUUGAUAACACUUCUAUUUUCUUCAAUUUCUGCUGGAAUUUGAACUAAAAUGAGUCACAGUGGUUAAAGUGUUUCAAUGUUACAAUAAUACUUACAGAAGAUGCCAAAGAUGAUUUAAAUAAUAAUUUGGGAUAAUGAUCUAUAAGUUUUUUACAUGAUUAAAACAGUAUUGACAGAAGAGUGAAAGUAUAAAGUUAACCAUUGAUGUAUCAUAUUUGUUGAAAUCCACGCUAAACGCUGGUCUGAAAACAGUAAACAGAAUCUCCUCUCUUUAAAAUCAACAUCUGUGUGACUUUUACCCGAGAAAGCAAACUUUGUGAAGCAUAGGAAUGGAAAUUAAUAGGUUUUGUGAAAGUGAAAUAAACAAGUUAGAGUUAAAGGAUGAUGACAACAACUUGCGGAAUAAAGUUUUAUUAUUUUUGUAGAAAUACUUACAUGAGUUUCAUAGUGGUAGUGCUAAUGGAUUUUUUGCAUUUUGAAGAAACUUUUGACACACUAAAGAAAAGCGGCUGAACGUACAAGUGUCAGGCGCAAAGAGCAGAAUAUGCCAAAUGUUAUCACACCUAUCAAAUGUUAAUAAUUUUGUUACCGGAAUUCACUUGAAAAUAAAUCAUGUGAGAUAUGUUUGAUGUCACUGAUACAUCACGUGUAACUAGGGUAUGUCACUGAUACAUCACGUGUAACUAGGGUAUGUCACUGAUACAUCACGUGUAACUAGGGUAUGUCACUGAUACAUGAUGUGUAACUAGGGUAUGUCACUGAUACAUCACGUGUAACUAGGGUAUGUCACUGAUACAUCACGUGUAACUAGGGUAUGUCACUGAUACAUCACGUGUAACUAGGGUAUGUCACUGAUACAUCACGUGUAACUAGGGUAUGUCACUGAUACAUCACGUGUAACUAGGGUAUGUCACUGAUACAUCACGUGUAACUAGGGUAUGUCACUGAUACAUCAUGUGUAACUAGGGUAUGUCACUGAUACAUCAUGUGUAACUAGGAUAUGUCAGUUAUACCAAUUGGUCCAAUAUUGUUUGUGCAAUACACAAAUGUUAACAUGCAUGCAUGUACGUGUUAUACAGUGUAUUAAAGCUUUAAUUCACCAUCAACAAACGCUAAGACAUCAUGCAUAACUUCUACGUUGUACUGUUAGCUUAAACAACAUGUUCUAUAUCAAUUUGUACUCUAAUCCUGAGUGACAAAAUCUAUAUAUAUGGUAAUAAAUUAUCUAAUAUCUAAUUAUAGGUAAGUAUUUUAUUUAUUUUUCAUGAAUCGCUUUAAAUGCAAUUUCUUGCCCCGUUAAAUAUUAGAAACAGUUCUCCUUAACCCAUAUAUAUCGACCUAUUAAUACAUGUGUAUUUGUUGUCAACAGUAAAUGAAAUUGUAAAUGUUCCUUUAUAACUACAACUAGAUAUUCUGAAUUCAUUUGAAUAAUAAAAACCGACAGUUUGUUUCAAGGUUCAUACCAUUACUGAUUGACACAAAUGUAAGAACACUGCAAAUUUACACUCUGACUGUAGUGAACAGCUGAAUAUGUUUGAUGAAAAAAGUUGUUACAAAAUUCUGCCGUUUAUAAUGACUAAUUCAGCAUAUCUUUUAUCUUCCCUUAAAAUAUAUGAAAACUUUCUUCAUAAUACAAGUAUGUACAUGUAUUACUAUUAGAGUUAACUGCAAAUAAGUCCUAGUAUUUUGUUUUACAUGUUGAAAUAAGAAAUUUAUAUAUCAGAUAUUAUUUUAACGUAAUAUAAACAUGGUUUUAUAUACACAUAUCAGAUUAGUAGGUAUAUUAGUUGAUACUUUUUCUGUAGAUAUUGGUUCCUUAUAUAUUUAUAUGUUGCUAGGAUACAGGCCCAACUUACCAUGUCCUCGAGGAACAUGACAUUGAAGAACAUUCGGAUGACAUUUUCAGGAAGGAACCUGGCGUGUAUGAUGACGACCUUGCUGAACCAGUCUAUCAUGAAAUUGUUGUUUCCACACUUGAGGAGUGGCUAACAACACUCGGUCUGUCGUGCUAUAUUAAUGUGUUUCAUGAUAAUGGUUGGGAAAAUUUAAUGGUGCUUGGGGAAAUGACGGAAGCAGACCUGGACAGAAUGGAAAUCAACAAUCGUUCCCAUAGAUCGUUAAUUUUGUCUUGUAUCGAAGAUUUCAAAUCCUGUUAAGUUAUUUGUUUAGCUUAUUUUGAGAUGCACUUUAAAAAAGUGUCUGGAACUUUUUUUUAUAUGUUUAUACAUUUCUAAAGUUUACUGACAUGUAUGUUGUUAUUGUAGCUAUUAUGUUACUAAAGAGGUAUUAUGAAAAUCUUUAGUAGGUCUUUAUUGAGGAUAUUAUAUUUAGACGAUUAUAAUUGUAUAUGCAGGUUGACUAACAAAGUAUUUUGAUUGUAAAUGAUGACUUAUGAAAGUCACACACUGAUAAUUUGUGAAUUUGAUAUGUGAUUCAAGUGAUCCAUGGUACACGUAUAUAUAUAAACCUAAAUACAUUCUUUAAGACUUGAA
Molecule: long non-coding RNA, 3050 nt
Organism: Ruditapes philippinarum (Manila clam)
Lineage: Eukaryota; Metazoa; Mollusca; Bivalvia; Venerida; Veneridae
Exons: 2
Source: RefSeq, a predicted model, not a curated record